Molecule: ribosomal RNA, 912 nt
Filed under: uncultured bacterium
Lineage: Bacteria
Description: bacterial SSU rRNA
Rfam family: Bacterial small subunit ribosomal RNA
Source: RNAcentral
AGAGUUUGAUCAUGGCUCAGAUUGAACGCUGGCGGCAUGCUUUACACAUGCAAGUCGAACGGUAACAGGCCGCAAGGUGCUGACGAGUGGCGAACGGGUGAGUAAUGCAUCGGAACGUGCCCAAUCGUGGGGGAUAACGCAGCGAAAGCUGUGCUAAUACCGCAUACGAUCUAMGGAUGAAAGCGGGGGACCWGYAAKGGCCUCGCGCGAUUGGAGCGGCCGAUGUCAGAUUAGGUAGUUGGUGGGGUAAAGGCUCACCAAGCCAACGAUCUGUAGCUGGUCUGAGAGGACGACCAGCCACACUGGAACUGAGACACGGUCCAGACUCCUACGGGAGGCAGCAGUGGGGAAUUUUGGACAAUGGGCGCAAGCCUGAUCCAGCAAUGCCGCGUGCAGGAAGAAGGCCUUCGGGUUGUAAACUGCUUUUGUACGGAACGAAACGGUCUGGGUUAAUACCCUGGGCUAAUGACGGUACCGUAAGAAUAAGCACCGGCUAACUACGUGCCAGCAGCCGCGGUAAUACGUAGGGUGCRAGCGUUAAUCGGAAUUACUGGGCGUAAAGCGUGCGCAGGCGGUUUUAUAAGACAGUCGUGAAAUCCCCGGGCUCAACCUGGGAAUGGCGAUUGUGACUGUAAGGCUGGAGUGCGGCAGAGGGGGAUGGAAUUCCGCGUGUAGCAGUGAAAUGCGUAGAUAUGCGGAGGAACACCGAUGGCGAAGGCAAUCCCCUGGGCCUGCACUGACGCUCAUGCACGAAAGCGUGGGGAGCAAACAGGAUUAGAUACCCUGGUAGUCCACGCCCUAAACGAUGUCAACUGGUUGUUGGGUCUCUUCUGACUCAGUAACGAAGCUAACGCGUGAAGUUGACCGCCUGGGGAGUACGGCCGCAAGGUUGAAACUCAAAUGAAUUGACGG